AGUCAAUAGAUACCCGGGUAGUCCUAGCCGUAAACGAUACUCGCUAGGUGUCGGCCACGGUGCGACCGUUGUCGGUGCCGUAGGGAAAGCCGUGAAGCGAGCCACCUGGGAAGUACGGCCGCAAGGCUGAAACUUAAAGGAAUUGGCGGGGGAGCACCACAACGGGUGGAGCUUGCGGUUUAAUUGGAUUCAACGCCGGAAAUCUUACCGGGACCGACAGCGAUAUGAAGGCCAGGCUGAAGACUUUGCCGGAUUAGCUGAGAGGUGGUGCAUGGCCGUCGUCAGUUCGUACUGUGAAAGCAUCCUGUUAAGUCAGGCAACGAGCGAGACCCACGCCCACAGUUGCCAGCGUACUCUCCGGAGUGACGGGUACACUGUGGGGACCGCCGCUGCUAAAGCGGAGGAAGGAAUGGGCAACGGUAGGUCAGUAUGCCCCGAAUAUCCCGGGCUACACGCGAGCUACAAUGGUUGGAACAAUGGGUAUCUACCCCGAAAGGGGAUGGAAAUCUCCUAAAUCCAAUCUUAGUUCGGAUUGAGGGCUGCAACUCGCCCUC
Molecule: ribosomal RNA, 554 nt
Filed under: uncultured bacterium
Lineage: Bacteria
Description: bacterial SSU rRNA
Rfam family: Archaeal small subunit ribosomal RNA
Source: RNAcentral